This 253-nucleotide ribosomal RNA is filed under the name uncultured bacterium. RNAcentral's name for it is "partial 16S ribosomal RNA". It matches the Rfam family "Bacterial small subunit ribosomal RNA", at positions 524 to 776 of the family's 1533-position model. The record is from RNAcentral.
UACGUGGGGACCGAGCGUUGUCCGGAUUCAUUGGGCGUAAAGAGCUCGUAGGCGGCUGUUCAAGUCGAACGUGAAAACUCGGAGCUCAACUCCGAGCCUGCGUUCGAUACUGCCGUGCUUGAGGACUGGAGAGGAGACUGGAAUUUACGGUGUAGCGGUGAAAUGCGUAGAUAUCGUAAGGAAGACCAGUGGCGAAGGCGGGUCUCUGGACAGUUCCUGACGCUGAGGCACGAAGGUCAGGGGAGCAAACGGG